UUCGAUUAUGGCCAGAUUAACGCUGGCGGGAUGUUUACACAUGCAAGUCGAACGGCAGCACGGACUUCGGUCUGGUAAGGAGUGGCGAACGGGUGAGUAAUGUAUCGGAACGUGCCUAGUAGCGGGGAUAACUACGCGAAAGCGUAGCCAAUACCGCAUACGUUCUUCGGGGGUAUGGGACCUUCGCCUCGCACCAGAGCGGCUGAUAUCGAUUAGCUGGCUGGUGGGCAACGGCUCGCCAAGGCGACGAUCCGUAGCUGGUUUGAGAGGACGACCAGCCAUUACCGGACCAAGAGACACGGCCCAGACUCCGCGGAGGCAGGCGAAAUUCUGGACACAAACUCCUGAUCCAGCCAUCCCGGGCGUGUGCGAUAAAGCGCCUUGCCAGGCAACUUUUUGCAGGAAAGAAACGGCACGAUAACACCGCAAUUGACGGUACCUGUAGAAUAAGCACCGGCUAACUACGUGCCAGCAGCCGUACUAGGUGCAGCAACUGGAAACGACGGGCGAAGGCAGCAGGCGAAGUUCGGAAAGAAAGAUGGAAACUCAGAGCUUAACUUUGGAACUGUAUUUUUUAAUUACCGAGCUAGAGGUCAGAGGAGGUGGAAUUUGCGUAGCAGGAAAUGCGUAGAUAUGGAGGAACACCGAUGGCGAAGGCAGCCUCCCGGGAUAACACUGACGCUCGUGCACGAAAGCGUGGGAGCAAACAGAUUAGACACCCGCAAUUCAAUGCCCAACGAUGUCAAUUCAGUUGGGGCCUUCGGGCCUUAGCAGCGCAGCGAUCACAGCAGCUGACCGCCUGGGGAGUAUGGCUGCAAGAUUAAAACUCGCGCCGAACUGACGGGGACCCGCACAAGCGGUGGAUGAUGUGGAUUAAUUGAUGCAACGCGAAAACCUUACCUACCUUGACAUGUUCCGGAAUCCGAAGAGAUUUGGGAGUGCUCGCAAGAGAACCGGAACACAGGUGCUGCAUAUGGCUGUCGUCAGCUCGUGCCGAGAUGUUGGGUUAAGUCCUGCAACGAGCAACUCUGCUUCGCCAGUUGCUACGAAAGGCAAAUUUCCACGAGACUGCCGGUGACAAACCGGAGGAAGGUGGGGAUGACGUCAAGUCCUCAUGGCCCCAGUGGUAGGGGCAGUCACAUGUCAUACAUCGUCGGGACAGAGGGUCGCCAACUCCGCGAGGGGAGCUAAUCCUCGCAGAAAACCCGAUCGUAAGUCCGGAUCGCAGUCUGCAACCUCGACUGCGUGAAGUCGAAUCGCUAGUGGCCCGCGGAUCAGCAUGUCGCGGUGAAUACGUUCCUCGGGUCUUGUACACACCGCCCGUCACACCAUGUGAGUGGGCUUUACCAGGCCAGUUAGCCUAACCGGGAGGGCGAUUACCACGGUAGGAUUCAUGACUGGGGUGAAGUCGUAACAAGGUAA
This 1422-nucleotide ribosomal RNA is filed under the name uncultured Bordetella sp. RNAcentral describes it as "partial 16S-23S ribosomal RNA intergenic spacer". It matches the Rfam family "Bacterial small subunit ribosomal RNA". The record is from RNAcentral. Lineage: Bacteria; Pseudomonadati; Pseudomonadota; Betaproteobacteria; Burkholderiales; Alcaligenaceae.